Molecule: ribosomal RNA, 495 nt
Filed under: Pseudomonas protegens
Lineage: Bacteria; Pseudomonadati; Pseudomonadota; Gammaproteobacteria; Pseudomonadales; Pseudomonadaceae
Description: bacterial SSU rRNA
Rfam family: Bacterial small subunit ribosomal RNA
Source: RNAcentral
GAACUGAAGAGUUUGAUCAUGGCUCAGAUUGAACGCUGGCGGCAGGCCUAACACAUGCAAGUCGAGCGGCAGCACGGGUACUUGUACCUGGUGGCGAGCGGCGGACGGGUGAGUAAUGCCUAGGAAUCUGCCUAGUAGUGGGGGAUAACGUCCGGAAACGCUAAUACCGCAUACGUCCUACGGGAGAAAGUGGGGGAUCUUCGGACCUCACGCUAUUAGAUGAGCCUAGGUCGGAUUAGCUAGUUGGUGAGGUAAUGGCUCACCAAGGCGACGAUCCGUAACUGGUCUGAGAGGAUGAUCAGUCACACUGGAACUGAGACACGGUCCAGACCCCUACGGGAGGCAGCAGUGGGGAAUAUUGGACAAUGGGCGAAAGCCUGAUCCAGCCAUGCCGCGUGUGUGAAGAAGGUCUUCGGAUUGUAAAGCACUUUAAGUUGGGAGGAAGGGCAGUUACCUAAUACGUGAUUGUUUUGACGUUACCGACAGAAUAAGCAC